CCUUGACAUACUAAGAACUUUCCAGAGAUGGAUUGGUGCCUUCGAGAACUUAGAUACAGGUGCUGCAUGGCUGUCGUCAGCUCGUGUCGUGAGAUGUUGGGUUAAGUCCCGNAACGAGCGCAACCUUUUCCUAUUUGCCAGCGGGUCAUGCCGGGAACUUUAAGGAUACUGCCAGUGACAAACUGGAGGAAGGCGGGGACGACGUCAAGUCAUCAUGGCCCUUACGGCCAGGGCUACACACGUGCUACAAUGGUCGGUACAAAGGGUUGCUACCUCGCGAGAGGAUGCUAAUCUCAAAAAGCCGAUCGUAGUCCGGAUCGCAGUCUGCAACUCGACUGCGUGAAGUCGGAAUCGCUAGUAAUCGCGGAUCAGAAUGCCGCGGUGAAUACGUUCCCGGGCCUUGUACACACCGCCCGUCACACCAUGGGAGUUUGUUGCACCAGAAGUAGGUAGUCUAACCGCAAGGAGGACGCUUACCACGGUGUGGCCGAUGACUGGGGUGAAGUCGUAACAAGGUAAGCGUAGAUGA
This 529-nucleotide ribosomal RNA is filed under the name uncultured bacterium. RNAcentral describes it as "bacterial SSU rRNA". It matches the Rfam family "Bacterial small subunit ribosomal RNA", at positions 979 to 1509 of the family's 1533-position model. The record is from RNAcentral.